CCCUUAGAUGUCCUGGGCCGCACGCGCGUUACACUGAUGCAUUCAACGAGCAUAUAACCUUGGCCGAGAGGCCUGGGUAAUCUUGUUAACAUGCAUCGUGAUAGGGAUAGAUUAUUGCAAUUAUUAAUCUUGAACGAGGAAUUCCUAGUAAUCGCAGUUCAUCAAACUGCAAUGAUUACGUCCCUGCCCUUUGUACACACCGCCCGUCGCUCCUACCGAUUGAAUGGUCCGGUGAAGCGUUCGGACCGUGGCCUUUGGACGGUUCGCCGUCUGUUGGCUGCGGGAAGUUCGUUAAACCUUAUCAUUUAGAGGAAGGAGAAGUCGUAACA
Molecule: ribosomal RNA, 329 nt
Filed under: uncultured eukaryote
Lineage: Eukaryota
Description: partial 18S ribosomal RNA
Rfam family: Eukaryotic small subunit ribosomal RNA
Source: RNAcentral